This 912-nucleotide long non-coding RNA is filed under the name Nicotiana tabacum (common tobacco). Its description in RNAcentral is "long non-coding RNA (NTAB_LNC000808)". The record is from RNAcentral. Lineage: Eukaryota; Viridiplantae; Streptophyta; Magnoliopsida; Solanales; Solanaceae.
AUUUCAAUUAUGAAAUAAUCUCAACCGAGGAAAUCAAUAUUACUGCUCAUAAAUAGUUCAAAUUAGCACUAUCAGGAGCCUACUCAAACACCAUUUGUGAAUAUCUCUCUAUUUAAAUCUCAAGUUCUGAACACUACACUAUUCCAAAUAAAUAUGCACAUUCUUUUGUAUACAUCCAGUGCAUCUCCAUCAAUAAAGAUCUUAACGAAAACUUACCACUUUCCAAGAUGAUGUUACCUUCCUCAUAAUAACAUAUGUUGCAUGAUUCAAAUGAUUAUUUGAAACUCAGCAUAGAAAAAAAAUCUUAACAAAUAAAAAUAUCAUCAUUUUUAAGAAAAGUGAAGAUGCCAAUAUAAACCUGGCCAAUUGGGAAAUAUAAAAUUUACACUUGACUAACGUCCGCGCAUAAGAGAAAGCCUUUCUAGGUCAAAGCUACAACAUCAAGGAUCUGCAUAGAAAAAAAAUCUUAACAAAUAAAAAUAUCAUCAUUUUUAAGAAAAGUGAAGAUGCCAAUAUAAACCUGGCCAAUUGGGAAAUGUAAAAUUUACACUUGACUAACGUCCGCGCAUAAGAGAAAGCCUUUCUAGAUCAAAGCUACAACAUCAAGGAUCUCUCUGUCCUUGCGCCUAAAUUUCAGGCUUCAAAUCUUGUCUUCUGAACCUGAAAACAACCAAGUUUAUGCAGGAUAUUUGUGAAAUCGGUACAACUACAAUUGCUAUAUUAACAAAAAAUCCCAAAAACACUUAUAUUUUCUAGAUAUCAGAUAGAGAGAAACAAAAUAUGUAGAAAUCAAGAUGUGGACUGAAAAUAUGCAAAACAGUAAUCUACAUAAGGUUGAAAUUCAAACGCCGACAUCCAUUCAAAUGGGAUAAGUAAGUAAAGGAGUAAAAAAAUACAUGUUUGAACGAAGGU